This 479-nucleotide ribosomal RNA is filed under the name uncultured organism. RNAcentral's name for it is "partial 16S ribosomal RNA". It matches the Rfam family "Bacterial small subunit ribosomal RNA", at positions 329 to 799 of the family's 1533-position model. The record is from RNAcentral.
ACGUACACUCCUACGGGAGGCAGCAGUGGGGAAUAUUGCACAAUGGGCGCAAGCCUGAUGCAGCCAUGCCGCGUGUAUGAAGAAGGCCUUCGGGUUGUAAAGUACUUUCAGCGGGGAGGAAGGCGAUAAGGUUAAUAACCUUGUCGAUUGACGUUACCCGCAGAAGAAGCACCGGCUAACUCCGUGCCAGCAGCCGCGGUAAUACGGAGGGUGCAAGCGUUAAUCGGAAUUACUGGGCGUAAAGCGCACGCAGGCGGUCUGUCAAGUCGGAUGUGAAAUCCCCGGGCUCAACCUGGGAACUGCAUUCGAAACUGGCAGGCUAGAGUCUUGUAGAGGGGGGUAGAAUUCCAGGUGUAGCGGUGAAAUGCGUAGAGAUCUGGAGGAAUACCGGUGGCGAAGGCGGCCCCCUGGACAAAGACUGACGCUCAGGUGCGAAAGCGUGGGGAGCAAACAGGAUUAGAUACCCCGGUAGUCCCAUG